Molecule: long non-coding RNA, 4455 nt
Filed under: Sus scrofa (pig)
Lineage: Eukaryota; Metazoa; Chordata; Mammalia; Artiodactyla; Suidae
Description: lncRNA (ENSSSCG00015058034.1)
Source: RNAcentral
GGUGGUAACCAUUCUGACAGGUAUGAGGUGAUAUCUCACUGUAGUUUUGGUUAGCGUUUCCUUGAUGAUUUUCAGGAUGAUGUUGAGUAUAUUUUCAUGUGCCUGUUGGCCAUCUGCAUUUCUUCUUUGGAAUAACAUCUAUUCGGUUCUACCCUUUUAAAAUCAGGUUGAUUGGUUUUUUUGAUGUUGAGUUAUAUGAGCUGCAUAUAUAUAUGUUAGAUAUUAGCCCCUUGUCGGUGACAUCAUUUGCAAAUAUUUUCUCCCAUUCAGUAGGGUGUCUUCUCAUUUCAUUGAUCGUUUCCUUUGCUAUGCAAAACCUUUUAAGUUUAAUUAGGUCUCAUUUGUUUAUUUUUGCUUUUAUCUCCUCUUUAGAGGACAGAUCCCCAGAAAUAUUGCUAUGAUUUAUGUUAAAGAGUGUUCUGCCUGUUUUCCUCUAGGAGUUUUAUACUAUCUGGCCUUACAUUUAGGUCUUUAAUCCAUCUUGAGUUUAUUUUUGUGUAUGGUAUUAGAGAAUUUUCGAACUUCUUUUUCUUUUUUCUUUUCUUUGGCCGCACUUAAGGCAAAUGGAAGUUCCUAGGCCAGGGGUCAAACCUGACCCACAUCAAUGACAAUGCUGAAUCCUUAACUGCUAGGCCACCAGGGAACUCCUCUAAUUUCAUUCUUUUACAUGUAUCUGUCCAGUUUUCCCAGCACCAUUUAUUGAAAAGACUGUCUUCUCCAUUGUAUAUUUUUGUUGGGUAGCUUUUAAAGAAAGUUCCCCACUGAGAUGGGUGGUUCUCCCCUCUGCUCUCCAAUGUACCAGGCUUAACUCUAUUGUUGGUGUAUUAUGAUAGGCUGACACUUGCUGUUGACAUUGAUCAAAGAAGGUAGGGAGCCUGGUAUAGUUCUAUACAUCUCUCCUGGUCCUUUGUAGGUGUAAGCAUCUUAAUGCAUUGACCUGUGGAACUUUGAGGAACAGUGAUUGGGCCAGGACACUGCAGUUGAAGUCUGAAGUUAUUUAUGACCCAGAGUGAGCAUAUGCUUUGCCCACAAACAACAUCUACAUACCCUCAUACACAAUUUGCCCCCUCCAAUUCACUCAAAGGCCCUGCCUUGACCAGGGGCAGUAGUGACGUAAUCUCAUACUCCUGUAGACAUCAAACAGACGUGGGAACUGAGAGUGUCACAGGCAGGAAGGACUGAGCACAGAGAUCUGAAAAAAUGACCCCUGGGUGGCACUAAGUGGGGUUGUGGCUGUGGGCUCUGCCUCUGUAACUACGUUGCCCACAGUCUGAGCUGUGUGUCAUCUUAUAAAUUACUGACCAGAGUCGAGUUUCCUACCCACUCCCUACCCCUUGGAAAGGUACACCUGUGGGCAACCGCAAUGGUGGUGACCAAUUAGGGAGUGCCAUCUUUGCUGGAGUAGGGAGUUAGUUGCCGGAGGGGUAAGGGAAGCAAGGACUUUACCGUGAUGAGUAUGAACAACAGAGGGCAAUUAUAUAAAUGGUAAAGACUAAAUGAAAUAAAGAGAAUAAACAGCAAAUGAGAGAACUCUGCAAAACCACGGACCAUGGAGCCAGCUCUACCUAUUAGAGCCUCAUGAUCUUGGGCAAGUUGUCCAAUGUCCAUGCUGCAGGCUCUCCAUCUGUAAAAUGGGAAUAAUAAUAGAACCUACCCUAGGUGGUACUAUUAUUCAUAAACACAACUUAUUGUUUAUAAAGGCUUGGAUCAGUGGCUGACACACCAUAAGCACUAUAUUGCUUAACAAAUAGUACUGUAUUGCUCAAAAAUAAAAAUUAAACGUCUCAUUCUCUUUUAAUCACUGUGUACCUUCACACUACUUCAUGGUAUCUCCUGGGUUUGCAAGAGGGGUGUGUACAUCUUUAAGCUGGUGAGCUUUAAAAAAAAAAAAAAAAGUGAACAAAAGGGAAACAGCUGCUUUGUUUUUGAAAAGAUCUGCCAAGUUCACGUAGUUAAAUUUAAUGGCUGGGUGUUUUAAACCCUGGAGAACAAUGUAAUUUGUGUCAUCACUGCUACAAAGGAUGCCUCUUUGGCGAGAAUUUCAUUUCGGUCGCCUGAAGACCUAACUUGAACAAAAGAAGCAAAAACAAACACAAAUACAGUCAUGGAAAAACUCUAAUUAGGCUUUGGGGAAAGAUUGUCCAGUCCUGUCUUGUCUUUGCAGAGCAGAACAAAAAUAACAUUAGCACCUGCAAAGUUAUUUCUCUCACCAAAUAUUUUAAUUUUUUAAGUAAUAUUUUGUGAAGAACUAGUUAUAAUUCUAGGAAGUGGGAGAGUAUUGAGAGAUGGGGCUGGGCUGUGUACAGAUAUCUGAAUGUUUAGUACCUGUUUCACUUGCAGUAUCUCUUCUAAUUCUCCCUAAACUCUGUGCAGGAGAUAUUCCCCCCACUUCCGAGAGAACACUCAAGCUCAAAGAGGUUAAGUCACUUAACCAAGUUCAUACCCCCAGUAAAUUAUAGAACUAGAGUUUGACUCUAUGUCUGCUGAUUCUGGGGCAACAAAUACACUUGAAAGUUGGUUUGUUCGGGGGUUUGGGUUGUUUUUUGGUUUUUGGUUUUUUUUGGUUUCCAGGGUCACAUCUGUGGCAUAUAGAAGUUCCCAGGAUAGGGUUUGAAUUGGAGCUACAGCCACAACAACGAUACGAGUCAUGUCUGCAACCUACACCAGAGCUCAUGGCAAUGCUGGAUCCCUGACCCACUGAGCGAGGCGUGAGAUUGAAUCCACCUCUUCAUGGAAACUAAUUAGAUUCAUUUCUGCUUCCCCAACAACAGGAACUCCUGGUUUGUUCAUUUUUUUGUAAUGGGAACAAAGUAUUUACAUUUGAAUCUCUUUCAUAUAGUUGCCAUCUAAGAUUUAAGUUUUCUUCAUGCAAGACAGAGAUUUUCGCUUCACCACAGCCUCUGCAUGUGGGGAGUAAUCAUGGGAAAGAACUUUAUGAUGACAAUGACAACCUUGGAAGACAGCCAUCAACCAAUGACUUCAUCUUGGUUGGAAGCCUCAGUUUCCACAUGUUAGUACAAGAAGUCCCAAUGAUUUGACAAAAAUCCAUAUCUUGUGACACAAUUCAAAAGAGACAGUGAUGAUUAAGGCUGUUGUUAUCCAUUCAUAAGGGGAGUUGGCCAUCUUGUAGUAUUUCUAAUUGAUACAGAGAAAAACUGGGAGAGAAAAGAUUCUUGAAUACAGAAAGGACUAAGGAAUUCUGCUGCUUUCCUCUUCAAGGGCGUUAUUCCUAAACUAUAUUGUUUGUCACCCCGUAUCACAAGGGAAUGUGAGAAGAGAGAAAACGGAUAUAAGUGACUCAUACCAGUUGAUAACUAACUGGAAAGGACUUGUUUAUUUGGGCAUAUGAUCUUUGUAACAUGUGGAUUUCCUGUUACUUUUACUCUCAAUAGUCAAAUCUCUUACCCCAGAGAAGGCAAGAAGUAAUUUCCUUUCUUUUCUUGACACUGAGUCAAGCAGUCAGUUGAGUCUGCAAGUAAACUGCAGAGCAGUUCUCUUUAGUUAUUGUUACUGUUGUUGAAUAUAACAGUGUGCGUGUGUGUGUGUGUGUGUGUGUGUGUGUGUGUGUGUGUGUGUGUUCAGAAUGCAUCUGAGGGCAUUUAUGAGAAAAGAUCCUGCACCCUCACUAGAAUAAUCCUUGGGUUAGAGGCUGCACAUGGUUCUUAUAAACAGUAAUUCAGCACCAGUCUGGAGGGGUGAGAAAGACUCCUGGUAUUGCGAAAAUUAAUAAAGAGAAACUUCACUAAACUGGAGACCAGAAGGGAGAGCUCGCACACAUGUACCACUUGAUGUCAACACAGAUGUACCAACGGGAAGGGAUGUACUCACGCCUCCAGCAAGAAGUCACACUACUUUACUAUCACCAGCAGGAAGAAGAAAGAUUUUCUCCUUGCCUGGUAACAGCUCAGCCAAUGAGAGAUGAUCAUAACUCAGCCAAUGAAAAGCCACUAUACUUCAAACUCCUAGUUUCCUCCAAUGGACUUUUUCUUUAUAAAAUCCUCUCUCAACUUCCUCUUUUCCUCUAUAAAAGUGUUUACCUGCCUUUACCUUACUGGGCUGGCAUGAGGUUCAUCAUAAUGGCAAGUCCUGAUCUGCAUUUCUUUGCUGCUCCCAAGUAAACCUGUUUUGCUGGUAAAAUAACUGGCUGCUUUUUUGUUUUAGGUUAACAGUAUACUGAAAAAGGAAGUGCUCUGAGUUCAGAAAACCUGGGCCUGGUCUCAACAUGUUUGAUAACUUUGAGCAAUUAUUGGAAGAGUUAAAUCAACAUACUUGAAACUGCCUUUUUGACUGAACAAGCACUAUACAAUAUUUAAGAUUUAUCAACAGAUUGUGAUAUACAACAGUAAAAUUUGAUUGGGCUUUUUUCUUUUAUGCUAUCUGCUACCUCCUUCUUCUCUCACUAGAGCUUUUACUGCACUUCUCCAAACAUCUAGGAAAACAAAGAAUAGUUUCCUG